GCAGACUGAAAAUGAUCCCAGAUGUGUCAGUGGUCUGGGGUCAGAUAACUGUGCCUAAAGUAAUGCGGUGCAUCAAACUUGCCGUGUUUGUCUCAUAGUGACGAAUGUGAUAAACGUUAUGCACCAACAUGU
Small nucleolar RNA from Syngnathus acus (greater pipefish), 132 nucleotides. RefSeq annotates it as small nucleolar RNA ACA64. Lineage: Eukaryota; Metazoa; Chordata; Actinopteri; Syngnathiformes; Syngnathidae. The transcript has a single exon. The record is from RefSeq and is a predicted model, not a curated record.